Small nucleolar RNA from Hydractinia symbiolongicarpus, 69 nucleotides. NCBI's taxonomy places the organism in Eukaryota, Metazoa, Cnidaria, Hydrozoa, Anthoathecata, Hydractiniidae. The record is from RefSeq and is a predicted model, not a curated record.
GUGUGAUGAUGAAUUUAAAUCUGAAGAUAUUGUGUAGAUAUGAAAACGAGCUUUUUAAAACUGAACACC